Non-coding RNA from Podarcis lilfordi (Lilford's wall lizard), 76 nucleotides. The record is from the annotation of a GenBank genome assembly. NCBI's taxonomy places the organism in Eukaryota, Metazoa, Chordata, Lepidosauria, Squamata, Lacertidae.
GCCCUCCUGUGGGGAAGUGGGUCCGUGCGCCUGGCUGAUAACCAGAAGUUUGGUGGUUUGAGCCCACCCAGGGACG